RNAcentral lists this long non-coding RNA (368 nucleotides) under Marmota monax (woodchuck). Lineage: Eukaryota; Metazoa; Chordata; Mammalia; Rodentia; Sciuridae. The record is from RNAcentral.
CUGCGGCCUCACGUUGUCUGAUGUCCAGGGCGUUUCAAACCAACGCUCCACAUUUCAUCAUUUUGGGUUUUCCUUGUUGUUUCAGACAGGAAGGCACUUCUCAUGCCUGUGACUGUUUUGGUGACAGUGGAAGUCCCCUCCACUUCCAGGUUUUCGGCCCUCUCUGGCCCUUGGUAGAAGUGACUUCAGUUUCCCCUGGAUGGGCAUCAGUGACUCCCGAUGGUAAAAGCGCUCUGCCUGUAAUGAGCCUCCAAGCUUUACCCUGGAGCCUGGGGGGCCCGAGGAAGAAACCGAGGCAUCGCCUGGGGGUAAAACAAGAAGCAGCUCGAGGAUUCAGUAGUCAGCCAACACUGGUGAGUGAAUCAACA